AGAAUUGAUGCCUUCAAACUGUGGUGCUGGAGAAGACUCUUGAGAGUCCCUAGGACUGCAAGGAGAUCAAACCAGUCAAUCCUCAAGGAAAUUAACACUGGAUAUUCAUUAGAAGGACUGAUGCUAAAGCUAAAGCUCCAAUACUUUGGCCACCAGAUGUGAAGAGCUGACUCAUUUGAACAGACCCUGAUGCUGAGAAAGAUUGAGGGCAAGAAAAGAAUGGGAUGACAGAGAACGAGAUGGUUGGAUGGCAUCACCAACUCAAUGGACGUGAGUUUGCAUAAACUCAGGGAAAUAGGGAAGGACAGCUUCUUCAGCAGAGUAAACUAUUUACAGAGCACCUUACCAGAUGCCAAGCACCCUGCAAGUAUCUGGUGACACAGCAGUGGAAAAAAACAAGCAGCAAUUCCUGCCUUCAAGGAACUUAUACUCUAGUGGACAAACAAUACAUUCUGGGACGUGAUGAAAAGUUCACCUUCUCUGGAUAGGAUGAGAUGGAAGAACAGGCAGCAUACAAGGAUGGCUGAGAGCGUGGUUUCUGUUCAUUCCCAGAUCGCACCAGAAUGAGACAUGUUCAGGGGGUAACUGCUUGUAACUGGCUGAAUUCUGUGGCCUGGAAUUGGAUUGACAAACGUCAGUUGGCAACUCAGGGAGAAGAUUGGAGAUAAACUGGCAAAGGCAAAGGACUGGGGGGAAGUGGGGAGGGUGGUUGCAAGAACAUUCUUCCGCUGACUGCAGCUCAGAGAGCUCACUUGUGGAUUUUAUGAUCUUUUCCUAG
This is a long non-coding RNA of Bos taurus (domestic cattle), 778 nucleotides long. NCBI's taxonomy places the organism in Eukaryota, Metazoa, Chordata, Mammalia, Artiodactyla, Bovidae. The record is from Ensembl.